CGAUGCCGUCAGUGUUGGGCAGGAUGAUGAUGGCGUGAGACUGGAUGCUGGUCUGGAUCUGCAGGGACACACAACAUGACGGCAUGGCAGGUAGAUGUCGUAGACGGCCCCGGAGUCGACGUCCACGGCAUGGAAGCCUGAACAUGAGCCGUAAAUGACCUUUAACCUCUGACCUUCCUCCACCGUCAGGUCGACCAGCAGGGGCUUGUGCACCAGGUCACCGAAAGACUGAAGGACGCAGUGACCAGGACGUUGAGUCCCUCCAGGACGUCCAUCUGCUGGAAGCGCCUCCGGUUAAUCAGAGGAUAAACUUUCCCCUGACCGCUGCGAUCCAACAGCAUCAGACCGCUCUCUGUUCCCACCAACAGCUACAGACCCUCAGCAGGAGAGCAGACAGCAGCUCCGAGUCCCCGUCUGAAUCUGAAUCCAAUCAAUGCAAACCCAGAGGGACCGAACACCUCACACUCUCCGCCGCAUCAGCAGACUUUCUGUUGCCGUUACACAGAUUAGACCCGGCGCUGCUGCUGCGGACACCGGCCGUCUGUGACACCUGGCACGAGAGCGUUUGUGACUAUUUCUGCCUAUCCCGGCUUUAUGGCUUCAAACUAUGGGGGCGCAGUUUGCUGUCAACGGAUGUCUGGACUUACCGACGUUGUUGAGAGCGCUGCCGGUGGAUGGAGAGACUUGGAGGAGGCGUGGGUCGAUGAACGGAGUGAAGGAGGAAGAGGACUUGUGUUUCUGCAUGUUGUUACUAGACUGGCUCUACAGUGAGCCAGUACCUGUCUGACGAUCAGCGUGCUGUCUUUGCAGGGCGUCGAGCCUGCAUCGCUCUCGCCUUCGUCAUGAACGAUCAUGGUUU
Non-coding RNA from Plectropomus leopardus (leopard coralgrouper), 859 nucleotides. NCBI's taxonomy places the organism in Eukaryota, Metazoa, Chordata, Actinopteri, Perciformes, Serranidae. The record is from RefSeq and is a predicted model, not a curated record.